This 265-nucleotide ribosomal RNA is filed under the name uncultured bacterium. RNAcentral's name for it is "partial 16S ribosomal RNA". It matches the Rfam family "Bacterial small subunit ribosomal RNA", at positions 793 to 1055 of the family's 1533-position model. The record is from RNAcentral.
GUCCUAGCCGUAAACGAUGGGCACUUGGUGUUGGGGGUAUUGAGUCCCUCGGUGCCGGAGUUAACACGUUAAGUGCCCCGCCUGGGGAGUACGGUCGCAAGACUGAAACUCAAAGGAAUUGACGGGGGCCCGCACAAGCGGUGGAGCAUGUGGUUCAAUUCGACGCAACGCGAAGAACCUUACCGGGGCUCGAACGGUAACUGCUAUCCCUAGAAACAGGGAGUUCUCUUCGGAGACGGUUAUCGAGGUGCUGCAUGGCUGUCGU